RNAcentral lists this ribosomal RNA (441 nucleotides) under uncultured bacterium. RNAcentral describes it as "partial 16S ribosomal RNA". It matches the Rfam family "Bacterial small subunit ribosomal RNA", at positions 338 to 795 of the family's 1533-position model. The record is from RNAcentral.
CCUACGGGUGGCAGCAGUGGGGGAUAUUGCGCAAUGGGGGAAACCCUGAUGCAGCGACGCCGCGUGUGGGAAGACGGUCCUCUGGAUUUUAAACCACUGUCCCCAGGGACGAAGAUGACGGUACCUGGGGAGGAAGCUCCGGCUAACUACGUGCCAGCAGCCCCGGUAAUACGUAGGGAGCGAGCGUUGUCCGGAAUUACUGGGUGUAAAGGGAGCGUAGGCGGGAGCGCAAGUCAGAUGUGAAAACUCAUGGCUCAACCCUGGGCCUGCAUUUGACACUGUGUUUCUUGAGUGCUGGAGAGGCAAGCGGAAUUCCGAGUGUAGCGGUGAAAUGCGUAGAUAUACGGAGGAACACCAGUGGCGAAGGCGGAUUGCUGGACAGUAACUGACGCUGAGGCGCGAAAGCGUGGGGAGCAAACAGGAUUAGAUACCCUUGUAGUC